RNAcentral lists this long non-coding RNA (682 nucleotides) under Mytilus galloprovincialis (Mediterranean mussel). Lineage: Eukaryota; Metazoa; Mollusca; Bivalvia; Mytilida; Mytilidae. The record is from RNAcentral.
CAGAUGCAUUUUUCAAAAUGAAGUUUGCCUCUAUGAUAUAUGUGUUAAAUAUUUUUGAUAGAACGUUAACAGUCUCCGCUUUUGAAUUCUCUGCUAUGCUAUGCUAUUUCGGAUUUUGUUCAUACAUCGUAUUAUCAUUUUUGUUAAGCAGCGGACACAGAUUUAUAUGAAAAUGAUUAAAAUACCUCCGAUUUGUUUUAUAAUGAACUUCUUAUGUUUAAGUUUGUAUAUAAACUGUUUGUCGGAGAGUAUAUGUAUAUGGAUUAGAUAUAUAAGAUUAUUAUAGCAAAAAAUAAUAAAUUUAUUUAUUUGAAGAUUACAAUUUAAGCUAUUGUUGCAUGUCAAAUAUGUUAUGUAGUUUUUAUCACACUGUAUUAGUUUGACCCUAUUUGUUGUUUUUUUCAAAAUACUCAAAGUAUGUUUAGACACCAAAUUCAGUCUUCAUGACUACAAAUAAGGUUAACUAUUAUUAUUUUUUAAAACGUUAUUCAAUUUACCCUCACACAUUGUAAGUUUAAAACAUGUACAUAUGUAUGUUAUUGGUAUUUUCGAUAUCUUUAUAUCCAGUAUUGGUAAACAAUAUUUCUUUUUGUGUAUCUAUGGUAACAAUCUGCAUUCAAUGGUUAAAGAAUAUUGCAAAAAGGAGGAAAAAAAAGGUCACAUAUUUCCCAAACAACUGGCC